This 431-nucleotide ribosomal RNA is filed under the name uncultured bacterium. RNAcentral describes it as "partial 16S ribosomal RNA". It matches the Rfam family "Bacterial small subunit ribosomal RNA", at positions 29 to 507 of the family's 1533-position model. The record is from RNAcentral.
AACGAACGCUGGCGGCAGGCCUAACACAUGCAAGUCGAGCGCCCUUUCGGGGGAGCGGCGGCCGGGUGAGUAACGCGUGGGAAUAUGCCCUUCUCUACGGAAUAGCCUCGGGAAACUGAGAGUAAUACCGUAUACGCCCUGUGGGGGAAAGAUUUAUCGGGGAAGGAUUAGCCCGCGUUGGAUUAGGUAGUUGGUAGGGUAAUGGCCUACCAAGCCGACGAUCCAUAGCUGGUUUGAGAGGAUGAUCAGCCACACUGGGACUGAGACACGGCCCAGACUCCUACGGGAGGCAGCAGUGGGGAAUCUUAGACAAUGGGGGCAACCCUGAUCGAGCCAUGCCGCGUGAGUGAUGAAGGCCUUAGGGUUGUAAAGCUCUUUCAGCUGGGAAGAUAAUGACGGUACCAGCAGAAGAAGCCCCGGCUAACUCCGUG